Long non-coding RNA from Drosophila gunungcola (fruit fly), 1116 nucleotides. RefSeq lists it as uncharacterized. The record is from RefSeq and is a predicted model, not a curated record. The transcript is spliced from 3 exons. Lineage: Eukaryota; Metazoa; Arthropoda; Insecta; Diptera; Drosophilidae.
AUUUACCAUCUCUACCACAAAUCAAAACAAAACAAAGUUAUAUGCACAUCAAGCAAACUAAGACAAUUCGACGAAAUUGGUGGCUUCGAUGUCCUUGCCACGACGCACCCACCCAACCUUGGGUGCCCCAAGAAAGAUGUGAGAGGCACACCCCAUCUCCGGCAGACCGGAGUCUAUUCCUGGUGGAUUAGGAUCGGCUCAUCUCCCCGCCCAAGAAACUCUUAAGGCCGAUCUCAGACCGUCGCCCAGAUGAGAAGCGGUCAAAGCGGCAACAACCGAAGGGGAAAUUUUUAGACGCUUAAAGUUCCAAGUGUCAGGCAAAGUCGCCGCACGGCACUAAAUUGGAGGCGUUUGCCAACCGGGUCGCCUAAUCCUGAGGAGCUCCAAGGGAAAAGAAGGGACGUGCUGAUAAGGUAAGUACGCUAAACAAAUCCCACAAGUUAUUAAAUUUCGCGACCCAAUUUAGAUGUAGUUGGACGCGCGGCUAGGGUUCGGGCUUGAGCCUCUAAUUUUAGAUUAGAUUUCACAAGUUCAACGUCGGAUGUGGUUGAAACUGCAGCAGAAAAAAACGCUGACGGCGAAAACCAGCGCGAGUCCGCACGGGGCCAAUUGGUCCGGGGGAUAGCGUAGCGUGGCCGGAAGCAGGGCGUCGGUGGACUUGGAGAUGACCACGUGGCCAGCGCGGGCAUUCGUUCCCGGAACGGACUCACCGAGGGAAUCUCCGUAUCUGGCCGUCUUGGAGGCAGUCGCUGUAGCUGCUGGCGCUUGAGGCUGCUGCUGCUGCUACUGAUCGCUGCUGCUGCGGCUGAUGCUGCUGCGGCUAAUGCUGCUGCGGCUGAUGCUGCUGCGGCUGUUGCUGCUGCGGCUAAUGCUGCUGCGGCUGGUGUUGCUGCUGCUGAUGCUGCUGCGGCUGAUGUUGCCGCUGCUGAUGCUGCGGCGGCUGGUGGACGACGACCAGGUUAGGUCCGCCUGGUAAGUUUUCACUUCCCAAAUCUUUUAAAUUUCCGGGGCCCUUUAGUUAGGGUCCCCGGCGGCUUCAAUAUAAAAAAAAAACACUGUAAUUUACAAGUUCCGGACUAAUAAAUAACCACUCACUUUGAGUUAUUCAAACACUAA